CGGUUCCAGGAGGACUUGAACCUCCAACCUAUCGGUUACAGCCGAUUGCUCUGACCAGUUGAGCUAUGGAACC
RNAcentral lists this transfer RNA (73 nucleotides) under Klosneuvirus KNV1. RNAcentral describes it as "tRNA-OTHER". The record is from RNAcentral. Lineage: Varidnaviria; Bamfordvirae; Nucleocytoviricota; Megaviricetes; Imitervirales; Mimiviridae.